RNAcentral lists this ribosomal RNA (253 nucleotides) under uncultured bacterium. Its description in RNAcentral is "partial 16S ribosomal RNA". It matches the Rfam family "Bacterial small subunit ribosomal RNA", at positions 524 to 776 of the family's 1533-position model. The record is from RNAcentral.
UACGUAGGGACCGAGCGUUGUCCGGAAUCAUUGGGCGUAAAGAGCGUGUAGGCGGCCACUUAAGUCCUGCGUGAAAUCUUGCGGCUCAACCGCAAGCGGUCGUGGGAAACUGGGUGGCUAGAGUGCGGGAGAGGAGAGUGGAAUUCCUGGUGUAGCGGUGGAAUGCGCAGAUAUCGGGAAGAACACCCGUGGCGAAGGCGGUUCUCUGGGACGGUACUGACGCUGAGACGCGAAAGCGUGGGGAGCGAACAGG